UCGGGAAUAUUGCGCAAUGGAGGAAACUCUGACGCAGUGACGCCGCGUGCAGGAAGAAGGUUUUCGGAUUGUAAACUGCUUUAGACAGGGAAGAAAAAGGACAGUACCUGUAGAAUAAGCUCCGGCUAACUACGUGCCAGCAGCCGCGGUAAUACGUAGGGAGCAAGCGUUAUCUGGAUUUAUUGGGUGUAAAGGGUGCGUAGACGGGAAAUUAAGUUAGUUGUGAAAUCCCUCGGCUCAACUGAGGAACUGCAACUAAAACUGAUAUUCUUGAGUGCUGGAGAGGAAAGUGGAAUUCCUAGUGUAGCGGUGAAAUGCGUAGAUAUUAGGAGGAACACCAGUGGCGAAGGCGACUUUCUGGACAGUAACUGACGUUGAGGCACGAAAGUGUGGGGAGCAAACA
This 403-nucleotide ribosomal RNA is filed under the name uncultured bacterium. Its description in RNAcentral is "bacterial SSU rRNA". It matches the Rfam family "Bacterial small subunit ribosomal RNA", at positions 355 to 774 of the family's 1533-position model. The record is from RNAcentral.